AACGAACGCUGGCGGCGUGGAUAAGACAUGCAAGUCGAACGGGGUUGUCUGUGUAGCAAUACAUCGACAACCUAGUGGCGAACGGGUGCGUAACACGUGAGCAAUCUGCCGGGAAGUGGGGGAUAGCUCGCCGAAAGGCGAAUUAAUACCGCAUGUGACCAGAGGGGACAUCCCUUCGACGCCAAAGUCGCAAGACGCUUCCUGAUGACCUCGCGGCCUAUCAGCUUGUUGGUGAGGUAAAGGCUCACCAAGGCGACGACGGGUAGCCGGCCUGAGAGGGCGACCGGCCACACUGGGACUGAGACACGGCCCAGACUCCUACGGGAGGCAGCAGUGGGGAAUAUUGGGCAAUGGAGGAAACUCUGACCCAGCGACGCCGCGUGAGGGAUGAAGGCCUUCGGGUUGUAAACCUCUUUCAGCAGGGAAUAAGCGAAAGUGAAGGUACCUGCAGAAGAAGCACCGGCUAACUAUGUGCCAGCAGCCGCAGUAA
Molecule: ribosomal RNA, 490 nt
Filed under: uncultured bacterium
Lineage: Bacteria
Description: partial 16S ribosomal RNA
Rfam family: Bacterial small subunit ribosomal RNA
Source: RNAcentral